Molecule: transfer RNA, 76 nt
Filed under: Kibdelosporangium aridum
Lineage: Bacteria; Bacillati; Actinomycetota; Actinomycetes; Pseudonocardiales; Pseudonocardiaceae
Description: tRNA-Arg
Rfam family: tRNA
About the family: Transfer RNA (tRNA) molecules are approximately 80 nucleotides in length. Their secondary structure includes four short double-helical elements and three loops (D, anti-codon, and T loops).
Source: RNAcentral
GCCCCCGUAGCUCAGCGGAUAGAGCGAGAGACUUCUAAUCUCUUGGUCGCAGGUUCGAGUCCUGCCGGGGGCACCC